AUUGCAAAAUUUGUUAUGUAUGUUCAGCAUUCCUGCCAUAGCAGUUACUCCAUUGAGCCAUUUAAUCGUAUUUCUCUAACUCAAAAUGACUUUUCCCUCCCUGUAGCCAAGAGGAAGUCUUGUCAUUGUGGAAAGAUCCAAAGAACCAAAAUCUACCAAUGAUUGCUUCAACUGCUUUUCUGCAAGUGCGCAGGUUUGUGGAGCAAGCAGCUGUUCAUUUGUUUUGUCAAUAAUAGAAAGAAGACUGGAAGAGCUGAUGACAGUUCAGUGGAAUGGAAAACAAUUUUUCUUAAGCAUUACUGGAGGCCAUCAAACAACGAGAAGGAAUAAUUUUUCUGCUGCUGCAUGUUCAGCAGAAUUUAAAGGUAUCUAUUAAAAAAAAACCAAACAAACCAAAAAACAGGUGUAAUGAUAAACCUAGAUUUCCCCCCUUUUUUGAAAAAGUGUAAUUACACUCAUCAGACAUAAUCAUCUGCUAUUUUCCCCAUCUUGCUAUUGCUCAGAGUGUAAUGAGAAAAGUUUGCUGGUGCUGGGUGGGCUUGAUUAUUCCCUGUUUCUUCUUGCUUAUUUUCUACCAAAAAAGAAAAUAGAC
Pezoporus occidentalis (night parrot) is the source of this 592-nucleotide long non-coding RNA. RefSeq lists it as uncharacterized. The record is from RefSeq and is a predicted model, not a curated record. The transcript is spliced from 3 exons. Lineage: Eukaryota; Metazoa; Chordata; Aves; Psittaciformes; Psittacidae.